This 440-nucleotide ribosomal RNA is filed under the name uncultured bacterium. RNAcentral's name for it is "partial 16S ribosomal RNA". It matches the Rfam family "Bacterial small subunit ribosomal RNA", at positions 338 to 795 of the family's 1533-position model. The record is from RNAcentral.
CCUACGGGAGGCAGCAGUGGGGAAUAUUGCACAAUGGGGGAAACCCUGAUGCAGCGACGCCGCGUGAGUGAAGAAGUAAUUCGUUAUGUAAAGCUCUAUCAGCAGGGAAGAAAAUGACGGUACCUGAGUAAGAAGCCCCGGCUAACUACGUGCCAGCAGCCGCGGUAAUACGUAUGGUGCAAGCGUUAUCCGGAUUUACUGGGUGGAAAGGGAGCGCAGGCGGCACGGCAAGCCUGAUGUGAAAGCCCGCGGCCCAACCGCGGGACUGCAUUGGGAACUACCGGGCUGGAGUGCCGGAGAGGUAGGCGGAAUUCCUAGUGUAGCGGUGAAAUGCGUAGAUAUUAGGAGGAACACCAGUGGCGAAGGCGGCCUACUGGACGGUGACUGACGCUGAGGCACGAAAGCGUGGGGAUCGAACAGGAUUAGAUACCCUAGUAGUC